CAGUUAAAAGUUCAAGACAGACACAAUGUAGCCUCCAUAGCCUUCUUCCUCUCUUUUACUGUUUUCAGCAAACAUUCAAUAAAUCCAUGAUUUCUAGCAUGGUAUCAGAACCCAUGGUAUCUGAUCCGAUACCUUGUGGCUUCUGUGUUUAUCCAUACGUAGUUGCUUCCGCAUUUUCAUUUUCAGUUCCCUUCAAUUUCAGAUCCCCAAUUUCAAAACCCUAAACCCAAUCUUGAAUCGAUUCCCUCCUGGAGACGCUCUCGUUCUCUCCGGCGACUGGAAACUUUCCAUUCGAUGUCGUGGUCUUGUCGUCGGAUCUAUGAAGCCCUCUACGUUUUCUUCUUCUCCUUUUCGAAUUGAAGCUGCGAGAACCUUAAAUCGAAGCCGGGUCGUGGAUUCAUAUGCGUGAGUUGCGAUUUUGGUUUUGGGCCUCCUCCAUCGACGGUAGAUUCGUAUGGAUUUGAGAUUCUGCAAUUGUGUUUCAACUGCCUCUCUCCUCUCUAGCAUCAGUUUCUUCCGAAAUUUGGUUGCUUUAUAUAUUGCUGCCCUACUGUAGUUGCUAUCACCAUGAGAACUUUGAGAUUUUUUCCAGCAAGCUCCCUCUCCUCUUAUACCAAUUCUGCUGCAAGUCAAGAUGGAAGCUAGUUGAUCUUAUCAUAUCAAGUUGUUGGGUUAUUGAAUUGGGUGUUUUCCUGUAUUUUUUGGGCUAUAUCUGUGUAGUUUGCAGGCAACCAUUAUGCUUGUUCCCAAGCACAAGGUUGAGGGGGGGGUGUUAACUAUAUGCUAGGUUUAUGACAAUUAAGUUGUAAGGGCAUUUACGUCAUUAUAUAUUCUAAGCCCUGUAUGUAUUGUUGUAACCUCAUUCGCUCUCAAUCAAGUUAGACACAAUGUAGCCUCCGUAGCCUUCUUCCUCUCCUUUACUGUUUUCAGCAUUUUACAUUCAAUAAAUGAUUUCUAGCAGCUCGAAGAAUUUCUUCUGUAUGAGAUGCCUGAUGAAUUCAUUUCUAAGCUUCAAAUAGAUAGCGUGGAGCAUUACUUGGAUCGGAAUGUCCGAGUCAUCCAAUCUUUCUGUAGUGGAAGCAAUGGAAGCCAAAAUAUUUCUUGAUUGUAUUGGCAUAUGUCCACUAGCUAGAAAAUAUAUAUAUAUUAUGAGCAUUCACUGCAUGUGGCUUUUCUUUUGUUAUAAUUUUGCUCAUCAAUUAUCUCGAGUUAUGUAUAAUGAUUUUGGCAAACUGUUUAGUUUCUCUGUAUCAGUGAAAUGUAAGGAAUAAAGCUGUAAUUUGCUUCGUUGAUACU
Fragaria vesca subsp. vesca is the source of this 1296-nucleotide RNA transcript. RefSeq lists it as uncharacterized. NCBI's taxonomy places the organism in Eukaryota, Viridiplantae, Streptophyta, Magnoliopsida, Rosales, Rosaceae. The record is from RefSeq and is a predicted model, not a curated record. The transcript has 2 exons.